UUACAAAAUGCUGUGCUUUCUAUCAAGAGCACAAACAGAAUGAAGCAGUGACAGUCAGUAAUCAUGAAAGAAUUCAGUGAUUGGUUGUUGUUGUUGGGAACAUUGGGAACAAUGGUGAUCAGUGAUUGGUCGUUAGGAACAAUGGUGAUCAGUGAUUGGUUGUUAGGAAUAAUGAAGAUCAGUGAUUGGUGCUUAGGAACAAUGGUGAUCAGUGAUUGGUCGAUAUGAACAAUGGUGAUCAGUGAUUGGUCUUUAGGAACAAUGGUGAUCAGUGAUUGGUCGUUAUGAACAAUGGUGAUCAGUGAUUGGUCUUUAGGAACAAUGGUGAUCAGUGAUUGGUCUUUAGGAACAAUGGUGAUCAGUGAUUGGUCGUUAUGAACAAUGGUGAUCAGUGAUUGGUCUUUAGGAACAAUGGUGAUCAGUGAUUGGUCGUUAUGAACAAUGGUGAGCAGUGAUUGGUCGUUACGAACAAUGGUGAUCAGUGAUUGAUCCUUAGGAACAAUGGUGAUCAGUG
This is a long non-coding RNA of Ictalurus punctatus (channel catfish), 514 nucleotides long. The record is from Ensembl. Lineage: Eukaryota; Metazoa; Chordata; Actinopteri; Siluriformes; Ictaluridae.